Molecule: ribosomal RNA, 247 nt
Filed under: uncultured bacterium
Lineage: Bacteria
Description: partial 16S ribosomal RNA
Rfam family: Bacterial small subunit ribosomal RNA
Source: RNAcentral
GCCUACGGGGGGCAGCAGUGAGGGAUAUUGGACAAUGGGGGGAACCCUGAUCCAGCGACGCCGCGUGGAGGAUGAAGGUUUUCGGAUUGUAAACUCCUUUUGUUAGAGAAGAUAAUGACGGUAUCUAACGAAUAAGCACCGGCUAACUCCGUGCCAGCAGCCGCGGUAAUACGGAGGGUGCAAGCGUUACUCGGAAUCACUGGGCGUAAAGAGCGCGUAGGCGGGUUAGCAAGUCAGAUGUGAAAUC